UCGCCUGCCACGCGGGAGGCCCGGG
Molecule: non-coding RNA, 25 nt
Filed under: Gallus gallus (chicken)
Lineage: Eukaryota; Metazoa; Chordata; Aves; Galliformes; Phasianidae
Also listed under: 6 other names
Source: RNAcentral